RNAcentral lists this small nuclear RNA (100 nucleotides) under Microtus ochrogaster (prairie vole). Lineage: Eukaryota; Metazoa; Chordata; Mammalia; Rodentia; Cricetidae. The record is from RNAcentral.
UUGCUUUGGCAACACAUAUACUAAAAUUAAAAUGAUGCAGAGAUUAGCAUGGCCCCUGCACAAGGACAACAUGCAAAUUCAUGAAGCAUUCCAUUUUUAU